This 1245-nucleotide long non-coding RNA is filed under the name Catharus ustulatus (Swainson's thrush). Its description in RNAcentral is "lncRNA (ENSCUSG00005007542.1)". The record is from RNAcentral. Lineage: Eukaryota; Metazoa; Chordata; Aves; Passeriformes; Turdidae.
AUGAGGAGAGCACAGCAACAGCCCCAGUUACAAACCCCGGGCAGAGCUCUCAGGGCUCUGUUUCCGCUUUUCUGUUGGGAUCUCUAUGGCCAGGAAUUCCCCAGUUCUCACUUUUUCACUGGGAUUGCCAUGGCCAUUGACUCCUCAGUUUUCACUUUUUCAUCGGAUCUUUGUGUUCACAAAGUCCUGAAUUUUUUCAUCAAGAUCUCUAUGGUCACAAAUUCCUCAAUUUUCACUUUUUCAUCGAGAUCUCUAUGGUCACAAAUUCCUGAUUUUUCACUUUUUCUUUGGGAUCUUUAUGGUCACAGAUUCCUCAAUUAUCACUUUUUCAUGAGGAUCUCCAUGACCACAGAUUCCUCAAUUUUCACUUUUCCACAGGGAUUUCUAUGCUCACAGAUUCCCCAGUUGUCACUUUUCCAUGGGCAUCUCUGUGCUCACAGAUUUCUCCAUUUUCACUUUUCCAUGGGGAUCUCUGUGGCCAUGAAUUCCUCAAUUUUCACUUUUCCACAGGGAUUUCUAUGCUCAGAUUCCUCAGCUGUCACUUUUCCAUGGGGAUCUCUGUGCUCACAGAUCUCUCCAUUUUCACUUUUCCAUGGGGAUCUCUGUGGCCAUGAAUUCCUCAAUUUUCACUUUUCCAUGGGGAUCUCUGUGCUCACAGAUUUCUCCAUUUUCACUUUUUCAUUAGGAUUUCUAUGGUCACAGAUUCCUCAGUUCUCACUUUUCCGUGGGGAUCUCUAUGCUCACAGAUCUCUCCAUUUUCACUUUUCCACGGGGAUCUCUGUGCUCACAAACUUUUCCAUUUCUCACUUUUUCAGGGGGAUCUCUAUGGUCAUGAAGUCCUCAGCCAGCGUCACCUCCCGGCCCAGCACGGCCUCCGCCUGCCUCUUGAGCUCGGUGACGUCGCUGCCCGGCUCCGCGGGCUGCCCGGCGGGCCGGUACCGCUGGCUGAAGUGGGUCAGCACCAGCCUCUUGGCCUGGCACCUCGUGGCCAGCUCGGCGGCCGCGCGCGGCGUGCUGUGCCCGUGCUGCCGCGCCCGCUCCUGCUGCGCGUCGCCCAGCGUGGCCUCGUGCACCAGCACGUCCGCGCCCCGGCACAGCCGCUCGGCCGCGGCCCCCAGCGCCCCCGAGCAGUCCCCCAGCACGCAGACCUUCCUGCCGGGAGCGGGAGCCGCCAGCACGUCCCCGGGAAGAACCGUGGUUCCGUUCUCCAGCACGACGGCGGUGCCGCUCUUGAGCUUCCCGUAG